This 254-nucleotide ribosomal RNA is filed under the name uncultured bacterium. Its description in RNAcentral is "partial 16S ribosomal RNA". It matches the Rfam family "Bacterial small subunit ribosomal RNA", at positions 524 to 776 of the family's 1533-position model. The record is from RNAcentral.
UACGUAGGGGGCGAGCGUUGUCCGGAUUUAUUGGGCGUAAAGAGCUCGUAGGCGGCUUGGCAAGUCGGGUGUGAAACCUCCAGGCUCAACCUGGAGACGCCACUCGAUACUGCCAUGGCUAGAGUCCGGUAGGGGACCACGGAAUUCCUGGUGUAGCGGUGAAAUGCGCAGAUAUCAGGAGGAACACCGGUGGCGAAGGCGGGUCUCUGGGCCGAUAUUGACGCUGAGGAGCGAAAGCGUGGGGAGCGAACAGG